Long non-coding RNA from Neodiprion virginianus, 3682 nucleotides. RefSeq lists it as uncharacterized. NCBI's taxonomy places the organism in Eukaryota, Metazoa, Arthropoda, Insecta, Hymenoptera, Diprionidae. The record is from RefSeq and is a predicted model, not a curated record. The transcript has 4 exons.
UUUCCGAAGGCGUUGAAUGACGAUGGAAUCCUGCCUGCUUGAUUGAUUUUGAUCCUCACAUUGUCUUCUUCUCGCGACAAAAUGCGACAAAUAAAUGUGUGGAGUGAAGCAGCGAGUUGGUUGAAAUAAGGCGUACAGUUUUUUGUUUAACGUUUCAAAACGUUGACGGAUGCAAAGAAGGAUUCCAGCAUAGAUUAGAACCACGUUGAAACGAAUAUAUUGCUGAAGACCAUGAGCAAUAGAAAUAGAAAUCGUCCAGUAGGGUUGCAGGAUGCAGUCGGUGAUAGAAAAUAUACCAACGGUGAUAGUUGCCAUAGCGAAGGUAGUGAAAAAGUUUUUAAAAUAUUUUCCAUCAUCGUUGAUAGUGCUCACAAUUUCUAGCUCGUUGCAGAUGCUGUACACUUUGUUCAUGAGCAAAAUGAUCUUUUUGUGCACAUACAGACCUACAAACACGAUGACGGCUGGAGUCAUCAGUGAUAUGAAGUGUGACAAUACACUGACUUGCGUGGUGAUUUUUGAAGGAGAUGAUUUGGAACCGGCCCAUAGACAAGUUGUUAAAGCUGCUAUUGAAUGAAGCAUAGCGAGAAAAACCAAAUAUGCCUUAACCAGACGGAUCGGUGGAUAAAAUUUGUGGCUUUUUAAAGUGAAUGGUGCUAGUCCCAUAGUUUUUGCCACGUAAUACAGCAUCAUCGGUAUUUUCUGUGAACGCAACGUCCAGUCUAUACGCCUGGCGUUGGAAGUACUAUACAUGCUGGAAAAAAAAACUAUUACCGACAACGUAAAACAUUCGCUCUCAGAGAAAGCUAAGACGGUACUGAAUGCAGGAUAAUUUGAACAGUAGAAUGGUACCCAUAAAGGCGUUCUCAGUACGUUAUCGUACCGACUGAUAAUCAUAAUCAAGUCUUGAGUCGUAAACUCACUUCAGCAAACCUCAAUAUUGAUCUGCAAAAUCGAUGGCGAAUACUAUGCGCGUUCUACCAUUUUAUCACGUGCCGAUCGUUGUGUUGUAUCAUGAUGAUGAUGUAUGGCAGAGCGGUGCAGAAUAUCUACACAGAAAUAUCACGGUACUUAUAGUGUGGAUUUUACUGACCAAGUACAACUUUGAAACUUACAAGACGACGUUGUCUAUUUUGCAAUAUAAAUUGCGAUUCAAGUCAGCUGAUUAGUCAUACCUUGAACAGGUAAGAAUAGUCCACCGGUGUCAAUCCGCAAAUAAAUAUAGCAGGUGAUUUGUGCAACAGUUGAGUAGAAAACAUGAGAAACUGCAAUAGUUAAUGUCAAUCGAUGCAUUCCGAUUAUCAAUCAGAUGCAUAAAUUAGCAGGUUAUAGUUGAACUAAAAUAUACUAACCUUCUCCGCUAAUUCCAAUGGUUGAAAAUCCAUCCACACUUUCGACAACAGGGCUUUGGUAGCUUCUCCCUGAAGAAGGGAUAAGGUCAGAUUAGUGCUGUAUUAUUUAUAUCGACAGCUACGUUUCAAUGUCAGUUACCGACAUUUUUGAAGUACUAACCACGAUUGUUACUAAUUGUACUUAUUUGUGUACAUCAAGACUCAUCAUUCGUUCGUACGAAUCAUACCUGUUCCGAAGUUGUAGCACCUGCAUGGGCGAUGACGAACAGUUCAGUAAUGAUAACCAACAUUCGAAGUGCGGGCACCAAGAUGAAGGCCCUCAUAGAGAAUACUGAAAAUUUCUCCAACAUGGUUUGGUUUAAACUCAUACAAGUUUUGUACAUCCAGUAACUGCCUAAAACGAUAGUGAAGAAGGAUUUUACGAUGAAUACAAGUAUUGGGCCGGCAAAUAUACGAGUUGUACGUUCUAACAGGUCGCAGAGUUCCAAGUGCAAUGUUGCGGCAAUCCGAAUGUUUUGAACGCCAGCAGAAACUACAGCUGUACUGCUUGAUCGGUUGACGUCGCGGGAAAUUUGUCUCGAAUUAAUCACUGAGGUUCUGUAGAAACUGCUGAAAAAUCCGUAGGGAUGUAAAGCUUGAAACAAUACGUACAAUUUUUCGUUCAUUAAUGAAAAACGAUGUUUGAUGCAGAGAAGGAUACAGCAAAAGCUUAAUAUCACAUUCAAAUCAGUGAAUCGGCUGAUGUGAUUUUCGACAGUUACGACAAUUGAUUGCUUCAUACUCAGAAGAGUUAUAAUUUGCGUUAUUGCACAGUUGGCAAUGUUGACGGUUGUGAUCAUCACAAAGAGGUUGUUGAAAAAUCUGCUGUGAUCUUCCUGGAUCCCAAGAAUCUUGAGCUUGUUGCUAACGAUGCACAACUUGUUCAUUAGUUCAAUGGUAUCUUUGUGCAUACUUAGAAACGUGAUCAGAGCGCAAAACGUACAUAGACGUUUCCCAAAAUAGUACACCAGCUGGACGUUUCUAUCUACCGUUGUCGAAUCCCCUUCAACAGACUUCAUAAUUCUGUAAGUCGUUAUGAAUGACACGAGUAAAUUACAGGUAGCAAAGACGAACGGAUACAGUCUCCCCGGAAGUGUGGACGGGUAUAUGAUGUUCUUCCUUAGGGUGAAUGACGCAAGUCCAGCAAAUUUUGCCAAGUAAUAAAUCAACAUCAAAGAUAUCGGGUAACCCGUUUUCCACUUCAUAUUGUCUUUACUGACAGUGAAAUGAACUCACACCGUACGGCGCAAGUGGUCUUUACUCGAACCUUUGCAGUGCCAAUACCGGAUACUAUGCUACUGAACAGCUCAGAGUCGAGUGGCGUAACAUCGACGUACGCAGAAAUGCAGAAAUUCUGAAGAGAGGGUGACAAUCGGAAUCCAUCCGAACAGUCGUAAACCUUUUCACACAUUGGCUAGUAUCGAUUGGUAAUAACAUCACAAAUCAUGCAAAGUCAAGGAUAACGUAGGCUUGAUAACUUCGUCACUGGUCCCUACGAAGAUAAUACCUGAAAAUAAGACUGGAAAUGAUCAACACAAUAUUGUACACGUAAUCAGUGAUGUGAUAGAUCGAAGGACUCGAUGAAGUGUGCUUUAUUAAAACCAUUUCAGCACUCCUAACAAAAUAAUAUCAACAGACUUAUGGAUCGGGGAGUGCAGAAUAAAGGAAUUAAUAAAGCGAGAAAUGAUGAUGAAUGAAUUACAAUGUAGAAUUUUUCGAGGAACUAUAUUCGCAAGUAAUUAGAGUGCGUAUGUGUCAUUUAAUAAUUAUCACCUAUCACGUAUUUAAUAUGAACAUCUAUUUACCUUGCCGAUAACAUUAUUUUCUAUACAUUGGUUUGUCAUUUUUAUUCAAUUCUUAAUAUUUCAUGGACACAGUUAGUUGAUUAAAAUCACUAAUUUUCUUUCGUUCACUCGUUUUUUCUCUUUCUUAAUAUAACAUGUGAUGUAUAUUAGUAAUUAUAUUUUUUGAUAAAUUAUAUAAUAUGUAUAUAUGCAUGAUUUAUAUUUAUGUAUAUGUAUCUAACGAAAUUUUGCAACUGUGACAGUACAAUUUUUAUAUAUAUAUAUAUGUAUGUAUAUAAUAACGAUAGUAUAGUACGUAUGACCAUCAUUACAUCAUAACGCGAAGGAGGGAUUGAUUUUCUCAUUUCGUUUAGUAAGAUGAAAAUUACGGAAAAAUACAAAUUCUCUUCGACGUUAAUAAAUAAUUCACUGCUACACGAAGAGCAUCCAGAUGACGGAAUUCUAUGUUAUUCGACGAGUUAUAAAAAUGUUUCAAGUGCAUCUACGACG